This 274-nucleotide ribosomal RNA is filed under the name uncultured bacterium. RNAcentral describes it as "partial 16S ribosomal RNA". It matches the Rfam family "Bacterial small subunit ribosomal RNA", at positions 523 to 796 of the family's 1533-position model. The record is from RNAcentral.
AUACGGAGGGUGCAAGCGUUACUCGGAAUCACUGGGCGUAAAGCGCGCGCAGGCGGGCUGAUAAGUUGGAUGUGAAAGCCUACGGCUCAACCGUAGAACUGCAUCCAAAACUGUCAGUCUAGAGUCUGGGAGGGGAAGAUGGAAUUAGUUGUGUAGGGGUAAAAUCCGUAGAGAUAACUAGGAAUACCAAAAGCGAAGGUGAUCUUCUGGAACAGUACUGACGCUGAGGCGCGAAAGCGUGGGGAGCAAACAGGAUUAGAUACCCUUGUAGUCC